Molecule: ribosomal RNA, 495 nt
Filed under: uncultured bacterium
Lineage: Bacteria
Description: partial 16S ribosomal RNA
Rfam family: Bacterial small subunit ribosomal RNA
Source: RNAcentral
GACGAACGCUGGCGGCGUGCCUAAUACAUGCAAGUAGAACGCUGAAGGAGGAGCUUGCUCUUCUGGAUGAGUUGCGAACGGGUGAGUAACGCGUAGGUAACCUGCCUGGUAGCGGGGGAUAACUAUUGGAAACGAUAGCUAAUACCGCAUAACAGUAGAUGUUGCAUGACAUUUACUUAAAAGGUGCAAUUGCAUCACUACCAGAUGGACCUGCGUUGUAUUAGCUAGUUGGUGGGGUAACGGCUCACCAAGGCGACGAUACAUAGCCGACCUGAGAGGGGGCUCGGCCACACUGGGACUGAGACACGGCCCAGACUCCUGCGGGAGGCAGCAGUAGGGAAUCUUCGGCAAUGGACGGAAGUCUGACCGAGCAACGCCGCGUGAGUGAAGAAGGUUUUCGGAUCGUAAAGCUCUGUUGUAAGAGAAGAACGAGUGUGAGAGUGGAAAGUUCACACUGUGACGGUAUCUUACCAGAAAGGGACGGCUAACUACGUG